GGUUUUUCAAGCCAAGACUAUGGAGUUGACUGUGGGAUCUUCAUGCUGAUGAUAAUUUUUCUCUUCUCUUCUUGAGAUUCAUACAGAAGCUAAUUUAAGCUUCUAAAAAAUUGACAUUUUUAUUUUUUCUUCCAAAUAGUCUGCUCUGUACGUGGCACUGGAUGCACCAUUUGACUAUACUAUAUCAGACAUGCCCUACUUGCGUAAAUGGUGGUGCUUGCUGUUGAUGGAGAACUUUGAUCUCAGGAGCUCUGGCAAGCUAUUUGCACACUGGAGAGAGGAAGCCAAAGCUGUGCUUGAAGGACAACACGUGCCCAUUUUCAGACUGAAAAAGCGCACAUUCCAGGAAGUCAGUCAGGAGGAAGCAGUUGUUGAAGAUCUGCGUCCUGCUGUGCAGUGGGUUGUCCAAAAUAAGGCACUUUUCCGUGGACACGUAACAAUGCCAAAAUAUCUGUCCUUAAAUCAAGGGGACCAGCAGAAGGUCUUAAAAGACAUGUCAGAGGAAGAAGACACUGGAGCAAGGGACUUGUUCCUCUUUGUUUUUCAGUUUGCAGAGGACAUGGAGCUCUUUUUGAAAGCAUGUGCUUAUUCAAUUCAAUUCAAUUCAGUUUUAUUUAUAUAG
RNAcentral lists this long non-coding RNA (622 nucleotides) under Oreochromis niloticus (Nile tilapia). RNAcentral's name for it is "lncRNA (ENSONIG00000042380.1)". The record is from RNAcentral. Lineage: Eukaryota; Metazoa; Chordata; Actinopteri; Cichliformes; Cichlidae.